RNAcentral lists this ribosomal RNA (253 nucleotides) under uncultured bacterium. RNAcentral's name for it is "partial 16S ribosomal RNA". It matches the Rfam family "Bacterial small subunit ribosomal RNA", at positions 524 to 776 of the family's 1533-position model. The record is from RNAcentral.
UACGUAGGGUGCAAGCGUUGUCCGGAAUUAUUGGGCGUAAAGAGCUCGUAGGCGGUCUGUCACGUCGGCUGUGAAAUCCCGAGGCUCAACCUCGGGUCUGCAGUCGAUACGGGCAAACUAGAGUAUUGCAGGGGAGACUGGAAUUCCUGGUGUAGCGGUGAAAUGCGCAGAUAUCAGGAGGAACACCGGUGGCGAAGGCGGGUCUCUCGGCAAUAACUGACGCUGAGGAGCGAAAGCGUGGGGAGCGAACAGG